This 513-nucleotide ribosomal RNA is filed under the name uncultured bacterium. RNAcentral's name for it is "partial 16S ribosomal RNA". It matches the Rfam family "Bacterial small subunit ribosomal RNA", at positions 28 to 507 of the family's 1533-position model. The record is from RNAcentral.
GACGAACGCUGGCGGCGUGCUUAACACAUGCAAGUCGAACGAAAAGAGGGAAAGAGCUUGCUCUUUCCGGAAUUGAGUGGCAAACGGGUGAGUAACACGUAAACAACCUGCCUUCAGGAUGGGGACAACAGACGGAAACGACUGCUAAUACCGAAUAAGUUCCAAGGGCCGCAUGGCCCAUGGAAGAAAAGGUGGCCUCUACCUGUAAGCUAUCGCCUGAAGAGGGGUUUGCGUCUGAUUAGCUGGUUGGAGGGGUAACGGCCCACCAAGGCGACGAUCAGUAUCCGGUCUGAGAGGAUGAACGGCCAAACUGGAACUGAGACAAGGUCCAGACUCCUACGGGAGGCAGCAGUGGGGAAUCUUCCGCAAUGGGCGAAAGCCUGACGGAGCAACGCCGCGUGAGUGAUGACGGCCUUCGGGUUGUAAAACUCUGUGAUCCGGGACGAAAAGGCAGAGUGCGAAGAACAAACUGCAUUGACGGUACCGGAAAAGCAAGCCACGGCUAACUACGUG